This 2549-nucleotide long non-coding RNA is filed under the name Paramuricea clavata. The record is from RNAcentral. Lineage: Eukaryota; Metazoa; Cnidaria; Anthozoa; Malacalcyonacea; Plexauridae.
GUUUGCCAUAUACCAUUGCUGGUCACUUGCACGAAGAAGGCGAAAAAACUAAAGCAGAAAAUAUCAACGCAAGCAGUCAGAGAAAAUGUUGGCGAAACUUUUGCUGGCUCUUUGUUGCAUAUCAGCAUGUGAAGGUAAAUAUAUAUAUAUAUAUAUAUAGUGAAACCUUAAAUUUUAUGUACCAGAGGGCAUACUUACACCAGCAAAUUAGUUACGUCACAACGUUAUAAAUAAAUUAUAAAAUGAGCAAAUUACGCAUUUAAUUCAAUCUGAUUGGGAAGGAAGUCAAAAUCUUGCUAAUUUCUCUUCAAAUUUCAAUCCAAAUUAACCUGUUUGUAUAUAUAGGGGGUGACUAGAUCCCAUUUCCACUGGCCUUGAAAUUCGCAUUACAGUCGAACCCCUAUUAAGCGGACACCUUCGGGACCUCGCCUAAGUGUCCGCUUAAAAGGGGUGUACGCUUAAAAGGGGUAUGUAGAAAAACACAGCAGGAGGCAAAGGUGUAUGAUUAGGUGUGUAAUUUGAGUAUCAAAACAGUAAAAAAUAUCUAAAAAAAUAUGAAAAUUUCUUUGUUCAUAAAAGUUCGUUAGAAAAUGUAUACGUCUCUCACAGUCAUAUAAAAAAGGAAUCGAUACAAGUUUGCUUUCGAGGCUCACGCAGACGAUAGCCCAUUAUAAUGUCAUUUACAUAAAAAUGGCGUUGAAAAGUUCUUCCAAACCUUGACAUUGUAGUGCGAAUUCUGUGAGCCGCUGGACAACUUUAAGGGCUUUGGAGGACGAUUUAAUGACUGGUUCGUUUACUUCGUUAAGAGACCAGCCAAAUUCGUCAUCUUCGUUCAGUUCGUUGUCAUCAUCAGUGAUCUGACACAUAUCUUUCGGCUCCUCGGCUGGCGGUUCAAUUGCACUCCUCCGUCCUCGUUGGUCACUACCUCAAUUGAAUCUUGGCUCUGAUGUCUUCGCGCCAAGUUGGUGUGACACUGUCACUGUCAAUGUGCCAUGUAAAUUGAUCUCAAUUGUUAUUCACUGUCGAAUAUUGAAUACAUUUUAUCAGACAAUCUGUCAUCUGUCUGCUUAAGAGAGGUUGGUUUGCCCAUUGGGACCUCAAGUAAGGUGUCCAGUGUCCGCGUCCGUUAAAGAGGGGUGUCCGCUUAAUAGGGGUUAUGAUAAUAGUAUUUUAUUAAAGAAAACUAAUGGGACCUGAGAUAUGUGUCCGCUUAAAAGAGCUAGGUGUCCGCUUAAGAGAGGUGUCUGCUUAUAGGGGUUCGACUGUAUUCCCUUAAUUGCGACAUUUUCAGCGAUAUAGGCGAUAAAUGGUGAAAGUGAACUUAAUAUUAAACGCCGUGGCAUUUAAUCGAGUAAAUACGGUGUUCGAAUUUUUCCAAAAUUCGUCGAUUACUUGCUUACCUAAAGAUACGAUUGAUUUUUAGGAGGAUGGGUAAACCUUGGCAAUGGCUGUACUUCUGCUAGGGGGAAUCACCCCGCACUGUUAACAUACCGUGGUACUGGUAGGUCUGGUUUUGUGUCUGCUUUCAGGCUGACGCAUAUACGUGGAAAAAUUGGAUGUCAUGCAUGCUAAUGGAAGGACAAAUUGAGGAUGUAUACUGCUCAUCACCGUACCAACAUGUACGUUACAGAUGUGAAGAACGUUGUCAUGUACCCUUCACCUGUGUUGGUGAAGCCAUUUCAAUCCGGUGGAUGGUAUCAUAUCCCUGGCUACUUUGCGAAUUCACCCCAACUUGCCUUUUCAGAUGUUGGCCCCAGGUAUAUAUAUUCCGGACACCAGAUGAGAGUAUGGUAUGGAGAGGAUCUGUACGGGUACACUGAAAAGGAUAACCAUGGCUACACCUGCUUCAAAGCUGAGAUAUUCUUCGUUUACUAUGCAUGAAUCAUGUGAAAUAUCAAUGAUACAUGUGAAAAAAGCUGGACCUGCACGAUUAGACUCAAUAACCCAUGUUUAACGAUAGCUACGUACUCGUAUUGUUUUUUUUUUAAUUGUACGAGCCAUUAUAUUCCAAUCAUUUAGUUAGUAAAUAAGACAUAUUUGUUGUGAAGUUAAAUGUAUAUAUUGCUGAUUUUUGCAAUGCAUGCGUACAAAUAUACAAUGUAUAGUAUAAUGCAAUGAAACGUGAUAAAAUUUAAUAAUAAAAACAUGCUAAUGAAAAGAGGUUGAAUCUGUCCACUAUAUACUGGGGGGGGGGGCACUACUGUAUAAGGGGCCAUGCAAAUAUACGGGGCCGGAGCAAAAGGGGACGGGGUACAUACUUUUUUGAGCUGCAUAGAAGCGAGGCACACAGAAGAAGCGGGGCAUACAAAGAAGCGGGGCAGCAACUUUUUUAGUAAAGUUCCGAUCGGGGCUGGAGAUUUUUAUCACACCAACCUAAGCGGGGCUUGCUUUUUUUAACAUUCAAAAUUGCACGAUUUGCCCCGGCCCGGGGGUACAACAAACUUUGCAAGGAUUCUAAUGUUUAAUGCCAGCAUUUAUUUGUGAAAGUGGAAGAUCAUAUCUUAUAAGACUAACAAAUUUUAAUAUUGUUGAGACGAUCAGUGGAAAAC